This 497-nucleotide ribosomal RNA is filed under the name uncultured bacterium. RNAcentral's name for it is "partial 16S ribosomal RNA". It matches the Rfam family "Bacterial small subunit ribosomal RNA", at positions 28 to 507 of the family's 1533-position model. The record is from RNAcentral.
GAUGAGCGCUGGCGGCGUGCCUAAUACAUGCAAGUCGAGCGAACAGACGCGGAGCUUGCUCCUCUGACGUUAGCGGCGGACGGGUGAGUAACACGUGGAUAACCUACCUAUAAGACUGGGAUAACUUCGGGAAACCGGAGCUAAUACCGGAUAAUAUAUUGAACCGCAUGGUUCAAUAGUGAAAGACGGUUUUGCUGUCACUUAUAGAUGGAUCCGCGCCGCAUUGGCUAGUUGGUAAGGUAACGGCUUACCAAGGCAACGAUGCGUAGCCGACCUGAGAGGGUGAUCGGCCACACUGGAACUGAGACACGGUCCAGACUCCUACGGGAGGCAGCAGUAGGGAAUCUUCCGCAAUGGGCGAAAGCUUGACGGAGCAACGCCGCGUGAGUGAUGAAGGUCUUCGGAUCGUAAAACUCUGUUAUUAGGGAAGAACAAAUGUGUAAGUAACUAUGCACGUCUUGACGGUACCUAAUCAGAAAGCCACGGCUAACUACGUG